GGGGGCGACCAGGUUUCGACGGGGGUGAUGAAGCAUGGACUGCGUGCCGAGGUUGAUCGGUUGGCCUCGUAAAAAGCCGAUCACAAUCUAACUGCCAACGAACCAUUGGCACUCGCCGCGUAACUUAACGCGACGCGUCUUACCCUCGACUACCUGCUAGGGGGACUAAGGCGACGACAGCGGGUCUUGAGUCCGGAGUGUGGUUGAAGACUCCGGAGGAGAGUACCGACUUCACCUAGCGGCCUUGCGCAGCGCGCCUGACGCGGCGCACGGUGGCGAAUCCUAAUUAAAAGGCUACGCACGUAGACGUUUAUGUCGAUGCACUCUCGGACGCGGGUUCGAUUCCCGCCGCCUCCACCA
RNAcentral lists this transfer-messenger RNA (360 nucleotides) under Candidatus Hydrogenedentota bacterium. It matches the Rfam family "transfer-messenger RNA". From Rfam's summary of the family: Bacterial tmRNA, also known as 10Sa RNA or SsrA, is named for its dual tRNA and mRNA-like properties. Lineage: Bacteria; Pseudomonadati; Candidatus Hydrogenedentota. The record is from RNAcentral. RNAcentral also lists the same sequence under 1 other name.